Molecule: long non-coding RNA, 382 nt
Filed under: Musa acuminata (dwarf banana)
Lineage: Eukaryota; Viridiplantae; Streptophyta; Magnoliopsida; Zingiberales; Musaceae
Description: long non-coding RNA (MACU_LNC004296)
Source: RNAcentral
GUGGUCGCCUCAGCUGUCCCCGACUUGUACAUGGUGACAAGCGGGGAGGGCCACAGCGAGCAGGUGUCCGGGCGGAGCGAGGAGGAGGUGGGUCUGCUCUACCUGGAGUGGGUGGCCAAGCACCGGCCGUCCCGCAACGCGCUUGCGGAAGAGGCGAGCCGGUUCGAGGUGUUCAAGGACAACCUCCGCUACAUCGACGCCCAUAACGCGGCGGCCGACCGCGGGGAGCACGCCUUCCGCCUCGGCCUCAACCGGUUCGCCGACCUGACCAACGAGGAGUACCGGGCCAAGUACCUAGGCGUCCGGGCCGCCGCGUCCCGCAGGAGGAGGGCCUCAUCGGAGGGCAGCAACCGGUACCGGCUGAGGGACGGCGAUGAUUUGC